RNAcentral lists this ribosomal RNA (429 nucleotides) under Gemmatimonadota bacterium. RNAcentral describes it as "Gemmatimonadetes bacterium partial 16S ribosomal RNA". It matches the Rfam family "Bacterial small subunit ribosomal RNA", at positions 355 to 776 of the family's 1533-position model. The record is from RNAcentral. Lineage: Bacteria; Pseudomonadati; Gemmatimonadota.
UAGGGAAUCUUCCGCAAUGGACGAAAGUCUGACUGAGCAACGCCGCGUGAGUGAAGAAGGUUUUCGGAUCGUAAAACUCUGUUGUUAGAGAAGAACAAGGACGUCAGUAACUGAACGUCCCCUGACGGUAUCUAACCAGAAAGCCACCGCUAACUACCUGCCAGCAGCCGCGGUAAUCCGAAGGGGGCAAGCGUUGUCCGGAGUUAUUGGGCGUAAAGCGAGCGCAGGCGGUUUCUUAAGUCUGAUGUGAAAGGCCCCGGCUCAAGGGGGGGGGGUGAUUGGAGGCUGGGAGACGUGAGUGCAGAAGAGGAGGGUGGAAGUCCAUGUGGAGCGGUGAAAUGCGUAGAUAUAUGGAGGAACGCAAGUGGCGAGGGCGGCUCUCUGGUCUGUAACUGACGGUGAGGAAAGAAAGCGUGGGGAGCAAACAGG